AACGAACGCUGGCGGCAUGCCUAACACAUGCAAGUCGAACGGUGCCUUCGGGCACAGUGGCGCACGGGUGAGUAACACGUGGGAACCUGCCUUUCGGUUCGGAACAACGUCUGGAAACGGACGCUAACGCCGGAUACGCCCAUCCAGCGAUGGAUGGGGAAAGUUUACGCCGAGAGAGGGGCCCGCGCCGGAUUAGGUAGUUGGUGGGGUAACGGCCUACCAAGCCGACGAUCCGUAGCUGGUCUGAGAGGAUGAUCAGCCACACUGGGACUGAGACACGGCCCAGACUCCUACGGGAGGCAGCAGUGGGGAAUAUUGGACAAUGGGCGCAAGCCUGAUCCAGCAAUGCCGCGUGAGUGAUGAAGGCCUUAGGGUUGUAAACUCUUUUAUACGGGAAUAAAGUAGCCCCACGCGUGGGGUUUUGGUCAUGUACCGUAUGAAUAA
RNAcentral lists this ribosomal RNA (444 nucleotides) under uncultured bacterium. RNAcentral's name for it is "bacterial SSU rRNA". It matches the Rfam family "Bacterial small subunit ribosomal RNA", at positions 29 to 489 of the family's 1533-position model. The record is from RNAcentral.